GGGAGAAUGGCAUGAACCCAGGAGAUGGAGCUUGCAGUGAGCCGAGAUUGCGCCACUGCACUCCAGCCUGGGUGACAGUGCGAGACUCCGUCUCAAAAAAAAAAAAAAAAAAUGUAAACUGGGCUCCAGCUGACUCCUCACAUUCCCGCCUCCCGCUUCAGUGGUGUUUCCCCAGGAUCUGCUGGAGAAAGGCCUCGAAGCAAACAACUUUGCCAUGCUGGGACUUGGAGAUGUCGUCAUUCCAGGGAUCUUCAUUGCCUUGCUGCUGCGCUUUGACAUCAGCUUGAAGAAGAAUACCCACACCUACUUCUACACCAGCUUUGCAGCCUACAUCUUCGGCCUGGGCCUUACCAUCUUCAUCAUGCACAUCUUCAAGCAUGCUCAGCCUGCCCUCCUAUACCUGGUCCCCGCCUGCAUCGGUUUUCCUGUCCUGGUGGCGCUGG
RNAcentral lists this small RNA (443 nucleotides) under Pan troglodytes (chimpanzee). RNAcentral describes it as "processed transcript". Lineage: Eukaryota; Metazoa; Chordata; Mammalia; Primates; Hominidae. The record is from RNAcentral.